GCCGGGUGUGGUGGCUCACACCUGUAGUCCCAGCACUUUGGGAGGCCAAGGUGGGGGGAUCACCUGAGGUCAGGAGUUCGAGACCAGCCUGGCCAACAUGGUGAAACCCCAUCUCUA
This 117-nucleotide non-coding RNA is filed under the name Pan troglodytes (chimpanzee). The record is from Rfam by way of RNAcentral. Lineage: Eukaryota; Metazoa; Chordata; Mammalia; Primates; Hominidae.